UACAGAGGGGGCAAGCGUUGUUCGGAAUUACUGGGCGUAAAGGGCGCGUAGGCGGCCUUCUAAGUCGAACGUGAAAUCCCUGGGCUCAACCCAGGAACUGCGUCCGAUACUGGAAGGCUUGAAUCCGGGAGAGGGAUGCGGAAUUCCAGGUGUAGCGGUGAAAUGCGUAGAUAUCUGGAGGAACACCGGUGGCGAAGGCGGCAUUCUGGACCGGCAUUGACGCUGAGGCGCGAAAGCCAGGGGAGCAAACGGG
This 253-nucleotide ribosomal RNA is filed under the name uncultured bacterium. RNAcentral describes it as "partial 16S ribosomal RNA". It matches the Rfam family "Bacterial small subunit ribosomal RNA", at positions 524 to 776 of the family's 1533-position model. The record is from RNAcentral.